GCUUACGGCCAUACCACCCUGAACCCGUCCGAUCUCGUCUGAUCUUGGAAGCUACGCAGGGUCGGGCCUGGUUAGUACUUGUAUGGGAGACCACCUGGGAAUACCAGGCACUGUAAGCU
This 119-nucleotide ribosomal RNA is filed under the name Amphilophus citrinellus (Midas cichlid). Lineage: Eukaryota; Metazoa; Chordata; Actinopteri; Cichliformes; Cichlidae. The record is from RNAcentral.